AUCUAAAUAGCUUAUAUAGAGUAUGACAUUGAAGAUGUUAGGGAGAUAGUUUGAAUCUUUAGAUA
Molecule: transfer RNA, 65 nt
Filed under: unidentified
Description: Peltoperlopsis sagittata tRNA-Phe
Source: RNAcentral